This 584-nucleotide ribosomal RNA is filed under the name Maudiozyma exigua. Its description in RNAcentral is "Kazachstania exigua partial small subunit ribosomal RNA". The stretch from base 11 to 345 matches the Rfam family "Bacterial small subunit ribosomal RNA", at positions 44 to 395 of the family's 1533-position model. The record is from RNAcentral. Lineage: Eukaryota; Fungi; Ascomycota; Saccharomycetes; Saccharomycetales; Saccharomycetaceae.
CGCUAAAUAAGGACAUAACACAUGCAAAUUAGACAAUAAUUAUAAGAAUAAUAAUUAUAAUGUAGUGAAGACGUGAGUAAAAAAUUAGGAAUAAUGAACUAUAAAAUAAGUUAAAUGCUUAAUAUCUCUAAUCAAAAUGAUAAAGAGUAAAGAAUAUGAGAAUAUUUGUUUAUAGUCAAGCCAAUAAUGGUUUAGGUAGUAGGAUUAAUAAAGUUAAGCCUAGCCAACGAUCCAUAAUCGAUAAUUAAAGUUAGAACGAUCACGUUGAUUUUGAAAUAUAAUCAAUAUCUAUAUGAUACAGCAGUGGGGAAUAUUAGACAAUGAUCGAAAGAUUGAUCUAGUUACUUAUUAGGAUGAUAUUAAAAAAUUAUUAAUAUAUUUAUAUAUUAAUAAUAAUAAAUUAAUAAAUUGAUUAAAAAUAAAAUCCAUAUAUAAUAAAAAUAAUGAUAUUAAUUAUCUUUAAAUAAAUAAUAAAGAAAUAUAAGAAUAUAUAUUUAUAUAUAUAUAAUUAUAUUUAUAAUAGUCUUAACUAAUAAUUGUGCCAGCAGUUGCGGUCAUACAAUGAAGGCAAGCGUUAAUCAUAA